UUAUUUAUAAAAUUUAAUUAGAAUAUAUGAACUAUAUUUUAAAUAUUUAAAUAUAACUAUUAAAUAUUUGUAAUUAGUAUUUUAAAAAAAAAAUUAUUUUUAAUUAAUGAUUUUACCACAUUUGUAAUUAAAUACCAAGAAAAAAAAAAGAAAGUACUAUGUUAUUAGAAGGGUGAAAAAAUAAUUAAGCACUAAAAAUACUUUUUGGAGAGAAAAAGCUAAAAAUUUUAAUUUCUCCUUUUCAGAAGUGCUUUUCAAAAGCAUUUCUGAAAAACUAAAAAUUUCAGCCAAAAACAACUUAUUCUGCACAGCUUUUCUUCUAGAAGUGCUUUGGAGUCAGAAGUGUUUUUGAAAAACAAUGCAGAACUGGCUCUAACUCCCAAAGAAGUAUCCUUUAAGGACCUAUUUAUAAGGCCCAAUUUUUGCCCGGGCCUAUAGAUUAAAAACAAUAAAUAAACCAAAAAUAAAACCAAAAUAAAAUUUUUCAGUCCAAUCCAUUUACAAAUUACACUUAUGGCCCAACAUGCCCAAUAAACUUAACUACCUAGCCUAUUUACAAGAAAACUAUCACAGCCCAAAAAUUAAAGACACCCAACCCAAAUCAAAACAAGCCCGAUAGGCCCAUCUCCUUAAUAGCUUUUAGAAAACCCUAGGGCAAAGGGCUUCUCGCGCCGCAAGCAUCCACCAGGAGAUUCACGCUCCGGCCUCCCCAACGCACGUGCGCUUCCGUUCCUCUGUCCACGCCCACGAACGGUUUUUCCACGCCAUACACACCUGCAACAGAAAACAACCAAGUAGUAAUUGACAGCAGAUCACAGCGAAUUACAGCAAGGAAUUUGUAUUUUCUUUUAUUUAUUUAUUUUAUUUUUCUUUUUCGGCUAUAAAACUGAAGGAAAAUGAUGUAAAUGGGAUCUUUUUCUUUUCUCCCUCUUUUCACGAAGAAAAUAGCAGAGAAAUACACACGGAUACUAAAAAAUCAAUUUGAAAUUAGUUUUAAGGUGAUUUUAGAUCGUGUUCUUCCUUGAUUUUCGUUUCCAUUUCAUCAUUCUUUAUCUAUUGCAUGAAAAUAAAUCUAUAAGGAGAAAAGGAGACUUAUCUAUUGUUGAAGGAGGCUUCGAAAUCCUUGUUUGCUUCGUCGUAAUCGAAGUCAAGGCGAAGAUUUGAAGCUUGUGAGCAAGGCUCUCGGAUUUGUGGUCGAACGGGACCAGACUUGGCCUUUGCUUGAUGGCCGUCAGCCGAAUAUGGAGGCAAAGCGGCAGUGGAAAGGUGCCUUAGGUUCGGCCGAGUAAAUGGGAAUAGGUCUUUGGUAUUUUUUUAAUUUUAAUUUGCUUUUAAGUGGCUGAAUGUUGGAUUUUAGGUUUUUUAGGCUUGAUUUUGUAUGAAAUUUGAAACGGUGCCGUGUAGGGGGUGAGAUCCACGCGUCAACCCGAUUAGCAGGCCGGAUCUUCACCUUUUCGUUCAAAAUGGGAAAAUUUCACGUUAGAUCCUUCCCCUCUUGCGAGCAUUCAAUUGCGCUUUAGUUAUUCUAUUUUGUUUUUUUAAAAUUUGGCUUUAUAAUUUGCGCGCAUUUUCAUUUUAGUCUGCGAUAUAGCGCAGCGUUUCAGGAUCGAGGCUAUUUUCAGCUUUGGUCCCUGUGAAUUCGCGCGCAUUGCGCAUUAGUCCUCAGUUUAAUUUCAAGAAUUUGUAAAUUAUCCCUUUUAUUUUAAUUUUAUUUCAAAUAAGUUUUUUCAUCUUUUUUUUAUUCAUUUCACAUUCAUUUUUAAU
RNAcentral lists this long non-coding RNA (1764 nucleotides) under Gossypium barbadense (sea-island cotton). RNAcentral's name for it is "long non-coding RNA (GBAR_LNC003346)". The record is from RNAcentral. Lineage: Eukaryota; Viridiplantae; Streptophyta; Magnoliopsida; Malvales; Malvaceae.